Molecule: ribosomal RNA, 449 nt
Filed under: Caulerpa mexicana
Lineage: Eukaryota; Viridiplantae; Chlorophyta; Ulvophyceae; Bryopsidales; Caulerpaceae
Description: bacterial SSU rRNA
Rfam family: Eukaryotic small subunit ribosomal RNA
Source: RNAcentral
CACGCGCCAUACAAUGUGGCGCACAACGAGUUUCCUAGGCCGAUAGGAUUGUCUCCUAGUCUACAUCUCUCACGAGAUCGAGGCAACAUUGUCCAACAGUCAGACGUUUCGAUCAUGUGUCGUUGCUGAGAGUUGUUGCUGUGUUGUCUCAACUAGGAGACACUGGGCAAUCUGAGAGAGCGCUACGUGACUGGGCUAGACUUUUGUAAUUGUUGGUCUUGAACGAGGAAUGCCUAGUAAUCGUAGGUCAUUAUCCUGCGAUGAUUAUGUCCCUGCCCUUUGUACACACCGCCCGUCGCUCCUGCCGUGGCUCGUGCCGGUGAAGAGGGGGAGGCAGCGUCAACGGAGUAACAUCUGAUUGUACGUGGAACCCCUCUGAACCUUCGCGAGUAGAGGAAGGAGAAGUCGUAACAAGGUUUUCGUAGGUGAACCUGCGAAAGGAUCAUUAU